Molecule: ribosomal RNA, 400 nt
Filed under: uncultured bacterium
Lineage: Bacteria
Description: bacterial SSU rRNA
Rfam family: Bacterial small subunit ribosomal RNA
Source: RNAcentral
UAAGGAAUAUUGGACAAUGGGCGAAAGCCUGAUCCAGCAAUGCCGCGUGAGUGAUGAAGGCCUUCGGGUUGUAAAGCUCUUUCAGUAGGGAAGAUAAUGACGGUACCUACAGAAGAAGCCCCGGCUAACUUCGUGCCAGCAGCCGCGGUAAUACGAAGGGGGCGAGCGUUGUUCGGAAUUACUGGGCGUAAAGCGCGCGUAGGCGGCUUGCCAAGUCGGAAGUGAAAGCCCAAGGCUCAACCUUGGAAUUGCUUUCGAAACUGGCAAGCUAGAGAAUGGUAGGGGAUAGUGGAAUUCCUGGUGUAGAGGUGAAAUUCGUAGAUAUCAGGAGGAACACCGGUGGCGAAAGCGACUAUCUGGACCAUUUCUGACGCUGAGGCGCGAAAGCGUGGGGAGCAAA